AUGGAGCUCAACGUUCAGCUUCGUGCCUCUAAUGGUGACCCUCUUCCUAAUCCCACUCGCUAUCGCCACCUCGUUGGCAGUCUUGUCUAUCUUGCUGUUACGCGUCCUGACAUCUCCUAUCCUGUCCACAUCCUGAGUCAGUUUGUUUUCGCCCCCAUCUCUGUCCACUAUAAUCACCUCCUCCGUGUUCUACGAUAUCUUCGUGGCACGAUCUCUCAGCGCCCUUUUUCCCCCGCUCCAGCUCUCUUGAGCUCUAGGCCUACUCUGAUGCUACCUGGACUAGUGAUCCCUCUGAUCGACGAUCGUUGUCUGCUUACUGUGUCUUUCUUGGUGGCUCUCUUGUUGCCUGGAAGACAAAGAAGCAGACUACAGUUUCUCGCUCGAGUACAGAGGCUGAGUUGCGAGCCAUGGCUAUGUUGA
Molecule: ribosomal RNA, 420 nt
Filed under: Triticum aestivum (bread wheat)
Lineage: Eukaryota; Viridiplantae; Streptophyta; Magnoliopsida; Poales; Poaceae
Description: partial small subunit ribosomal RNA
Source: RNAcentral